This is a long non-coding RNA of Ruditapes philippinarum (Manila clam), 644 nucleotides long. RefSeq lists it as uncharacterized. NCBI's taxonomy places the organism in Eukaryota, Metazoa, Mollusca, Bivalvia, Venerida, Veneridae. The transcript has 3 exons. The record is from RefSeq and is a predicted model, not a curated record.
AGUUUUUAAUAGUGCUUUAACAUUUAAUCAUAGUGACAGAAAAGGGAAAGAAAACAUAAUUAACCUUUAAUUCGAAUCUAAAGUCACGUGGAUGGAAAUUCAAAUUCGUAGGCGUUACGUUUUGGCUGUCGGUCAGGAAUCGGGAUGCAUUGAUAAGUGAAUAUUAUAGAUUUUCUUGAACACAAAGGUAGUUAAAGUGUUGGACAUGCUCUCAAAGGUCGGAGGGACGGAAACACGUGAAUAUGUAAAAAGAAACAUAUGAAAUGAAAAUGAUGUCACACACGCUAUUGGGUGCUACAAACGCUACAUAUCUUGCGGACAGACGAGGGUGCUGAAAGAAGGUCAUAUCUUAAAGCAUCACACCUCAAAAUUCGUGCUAAUUCUCAUGGAUAUCUAAAAGUAUAACUUUGUGAAGUAACUAAAAGGCAGCAAUUUAUACAUUACUGACAAUUAUCAAAGGAGGUCAAAAUAUGCAAAAUGACACUAAAUGUUUUAGAAAUGCUGUAGAAAUAUAGUUAAAGUACUGAAAAUCAGUCAUAAAUUGCUUGAAACAUUAUUAUCAGAAUCUUUUAACUUUUCUUAAAAUUAUAAUAUUUUCAUUGUUUUAUUUGAUAAGGCAAACUUUGAUAGAAAUGUGCAUACAU